This 97-nucleotide microRNA precursor is filed under the name Mus musculus (house mouse). RNAcentral describes it as "predicted gene, 54388 (ENSMUSG00002074932.1)". Lineage: Eukaryota; Metazoa; Chordata; Mammalia; Rodentia; Muridae. The record is from RNAcentral.
CCACCAUUAACUAUAUCAACAACAACAGCAGCAAUAGCAGCAAUAGCAGCAGCAGCAGCAGCAGCAGCAGCAGCAGCAGCAGCAGCAGCAGCAGCAG